Long non-coding RNA from Panicum virgatum (switchgrass), 948 nucleotides. RefSeq lists it as uncharacterized. The transcript has 4 exons. The record is from RefSeq and is a predicted model, not a curated record. Lineage: Eukaryota; Viridiplantae; Streptophyta; Magnoliopsida; Poales; Poaceae.
GAGAGAGAGAGAGAGAGAGAGAGAGAAGGAAACAAGAAGACCCUCCCGCCGCUUGCGCCAUUCCCUCCCGUGGCGGCGGCGACUGUCCGGUCCGGCUGCCAUGUCGACCUGCGGUUACCACUCCCCGCGGUUCUUCGAGGAUGUUGCUUGGCUCCCACAAUGGCUUCAGCCUCACCAGCCGCUGACGGUCGGCGAACACCGGACUCACAGUAUAGGCGUUUCAUCGCCUUCUUGUCAGGAGCGUCAGAAUGCCACUGCAUAAAUGCUGCUGGUUACAGUGGGUUCAUCUUGCGCUUGUCAGAACUUAAGUGGCCAGCAUGAUGUAGAAGGGGGUGGGUUCAUCUUGCGCUUGUCAGAAUUUAAGUGGCCAGCAUGCUGUAGAAGGGGCGGAAGAAGAUGGUAAGCUGGGCUUUGCCAUUCUUUUGUCAACUGCUUGUGGUAGAAGGAUGUUUCUGUAUUUGUGUAAUGUUGAUGUAGUUUUUUUUGCAUCUAUCCCUCUUAUAUUCCAUUUUACUUUGAUGCCUGAACAAACAAGCAAAGAAAUGUUUUUAGACAUAAAAAGUACACAGGGAAUAAUUGGACGUAAAAUAUUUUGAUUGAGAUAUGGACAUGCCAUUGUGUCACCUAUAACAUGUCUUUGGAUGGUGCUGGGAUCGGAGUAGUAAUAGCGUAACUUGAAGUUCUUUUCAGCAAGAGUGGCAGUAUUUGUCUGACAUGAUACCCAUGAUUUCGCCAUUCUUGUGGCACCAUUGCAGUGUGUACGAUCGAGCAAUGAAUUGAGCAGCUGGCUGGUCCUGUCUAAUGCGGAAGUCCAUCUAUCCAUGCACAUUAGAAGUUUAUCUUUUAAUAAGAUACCAUUUCAAUCAAUCAUCUUGUCAAAUACGAGUACUGGAUGAGAUUCUUUUUAAUUUGCUGUGUACCAGAUGAGGACCUUUUUUAAUUCUUGUU